AAUGUUUCGCAAUCAGGCGCGCCCCCGCCGGAUCAACCCCGCGUGAGGGAGGAAGGCCCUUGGUUGGUAAACCUCUYUUUUCAGGGARGAAAWAUUAGACGCUACCUGACGAAUAAGCCUCGGCUAACUCUGUGCCAGCACACGCGGUAAUACGGAGGGGGCAAGCGUUAUCCUGAAUUAUUGGGCGUAAAGCGUCCGCAGGUGGCGAUUUAAGUCUGCUGUCAAAGACCCCAGCUCAACCCCGGAAAGGCAGUGGAAACUGCGCGGCUAGAGUGCGGUAGGGGUAGAGGGAAUUCCCGGUGUAGCGGUGAAAUGCGUAGAGAUCUGGAAGAACACCGGUGGCGAAAGCGCUCUUCUGGGCCGCAACUGACACUCAGGGACGAAAGAUAGGGGAGCGAAAGGGAUUAGAUACCCCUGUAGUCCUCGCCCUUUACGAUGGAUACUAGGUGUUGCACGUAUCGACCCGUGCAGUGCCGCAGC
RNAcentral lists this ribosomal RNA (480 nucleotides) under uncultured bacterium. Its description in RNAcentral is "bacterial SSU rRNA". It matches the Rfam family "Bacterial small subunit ribosomal RNA", at positions 359 to 852 of the family's 1533-position model. The record is from RNAcentral.